Molecule: ribosomal RNA, 468 nt
Filed under: uncultured bacterium
Lineage: Bacteria
Description: partial 16S ribosomal RNA
Rfam family: Bacterial small subunit ribosomal RNA
Source: RNAcentral
GACGAACGCUGGCGGCGUGCUUAACACAUGCAAGUCGAACGGAAAGGCCCUGCUUUUGUGGGGCUCUCGUUUGGCGAACGGGUGAGUAACACGUGAGUAUCCUGCCCCUGUCUUUGGGAUAACUCUAGGAAACUGGGGCUAAUAUCGGAUAGGAGCUCCUGCUGCGUGGGGGUGGUUGGUAAGUUUCGGCGGUUGGGGAUGGACUCGCGGGUUAUCAGCUUGUUGGUGGGGUAGGUGCUUACCAAGGCUUUGACGGGUAGCCGGCCUGAGAGGGUGAACGGCGUCCAUGGUACUGCGAUAGGGACCAGACUCGUACGGGAGGCAGUAGUGGGGAGUAUUGCACAAUGGGCGGACGCCUGAUGCGGCAACGCCGCGUGCGGAAUGACGGCUUUCGGGUUGUAAACCGCUUUGGCAUGUGACAAAGCGUGCGUGACGGUAAUGAGUAAAGAAGCACCGGCUAACUACGUG